GCACGAGUCAACAGCGUCGACUUGACUAAAACAACACGGAAUCGUCCUACCGAUCAGCUGUUUAAGAAGAAAACUGUGAAAACGAAACCUAUUCUCUUCUAGCUCCUGAACCAUCGUCAACCAGUUUGCAGAAACUUCAUCACUGAGGAAUCCACAGAGGUCGUCACCACAGCUGAGGCUGAUUACAGGAAGCAGAUUGCCUGUAGCUGCUACAAAAUCCGGGU
This is a long non-coding RNA of Cololabis saira (Pacific saury), 224 nucleotides long. RefSeq lists it as uncharacterized. The record is from RefSeq and is a predicted model, not a curated record. The transcript is spliced from 3 exons. NCBI's taxonomy places the organism in Eukaryota, Metazoa, Chordata, Actinopteri, Beloniformes, Belonidae.